This 21-nucleotide non-coding RNA is filed under the name Caenorhabditis elegans. Lineage: Eukaryota; Metazoa; Nematoda; Chromadorea; Rhabditida; Rhabditidae. The record is from RNAcentral.
UUUUCUAGCCGUUACCAUUUU